Molecule: ribosomal RNA, 538 nt
Filed under: uncultured Cryobacterium sp.
Lineage: Bacteria; Bacillati; Actinomycetota; Actinomycetes; Micrococcales; Microbacteriaceae
Description: bacterial SSU rRNA
Rfam family: Bacterial small subunit ribosomal RNA
Source: RNAcentral
UCCUACGGGAGGCAGCAGUGGGGAAUAUUGCACAAUGGGCGCAAGCCUGAUGCAGCAACGCCGCGCGAGGGACGAAGGCCUUCGGGUUGUAGACCUCUUUUAGUAGGGAAGAAGCGACUGGGUUUUCCUGGGAGUGACGGUACCUGCAGAAAAAGCACCGGCUAACUACGUGCCAGCAGCCGCGGUAAUACGUAGGGUGCAAGCGUUGUCCGGAAUUAUUGGGCGUAAAGAGCUCGUAGGCGGUUUGUCGCGUCUGCUGUGAAAACCCGAGGCUCAACCUCGGGCCUGCAGUGGGUACGGGCAGACUAGAGUGCGGUAGGGGAGAUUGGAAUUCCUGGUGUAGCGGUGGAAUGCGCAGAUAUCAGGAGGAACACCAAUGGCGAAGGCAGAUCUCUGGGCCGUAACUGACGCUGAGGAGCGAAAGCAUGGGGAGCGAACAGGAUUAGAUACCCUGGUAGUCCAUGCCGUAAACGUUGGGAACUAGAUGUGGGGACCAUUCCACGGUCUCCGUGUCGCAGCUAACGCAUUAAGUUCCCCG